CAAAUUUUGCCUUUUGCUUAUGUCUAAGUAGGGAGCAUUAUUGAAUAUAUUUGGUUUUGGAAUCUAAGUUGGGGAGAGUAAAGGUAGAAAGAAGUGAUUAGAAACUUGGAAAAGUGAGUUUUUAUGAAAGGGUGAAAAUUUGAAAAGAAACAAGAAAAAGAAAACACCCUUGAAGCCAUAGAGCAAAGAAAAAAGUAAAGAAAGA
RNAcentral lists this long non-coding RNA (205 nucleotides) under Lathyrus oleraceus (garden pea). RNAcentral's name for it is "Pisum sativum (pea) long non-coding RNA (PSAT_LNC033238)". The record is from RNAcentral. Lineage: Eukaryota; Viridiplantae; Streptophyta; Magnoliopsida; Fabales; Fabaceae.